Molecule: ribosomal RNA, 433 nt
Filed under: uncultured bacterium
Lineage: Bacteria
Description: partial 16S ribosomal RNA
Rfam family: Bacterial small subunit ribosomal RNA
Source: RNAcentral
AACGAACGCUGGCGGCAUGCCUAACACAUGCAAGUCGAACGAGACCUUCGGGUCUAGUUGCGCACGGGUGCGUAACGCGUGGGAACCUGCCCUUAGGUUCGGAAUAACUCCCCGAAAGGGGUGCUAAUACCGGAUAAUGUCUUCGGACCAAAGAUUUAUCGCCUUUGGAUGGGCCCGCGUUGGAUUAGCUAGUUGGUAGGGUAAAAGCCUACCAAGGCGACGAUCCAUAGCUGGUCUGAGAGGAUGAUCAGCCACACUGGGACUGAGACACGGCCCAGACUCCUACGGGAGGCAGCAGUGGGGGAUAUUGGAAUAUGGGCGAAAGCAUGAUGCAGCUAUGCUGGGUGAGUGAUGAAGGCGUUAGGGUUGUAAAGCUCUUUUACCCGGGAUGAUAAUGACAGUACCGGGAGAAUAAGCUCCGGCUAACUCCGUG